GACGAACGCUGGCGGCGUGCCUAAUACAUGCAAGUCGAGCGAACAGACGAUGAGUUUGCUCCUCUGACGUUAGCGGCGGACGGGUGAGUAACACGUGGAUAACCUACCUAUAAGACUGGGAUAACUUAGGGAAACCGGAGCUAAUACCGGAUAAUAUAUUGAACCGUAUGGUUCAAUAGUGAAAGUCGGUUUUGCUGUAACUUAUAGAUGGAUCCGCGCCGCAUUAGCUAGUUGGUAAGGUAACGGCUUACCAAGGCGACGAUGCGUAGCCGACCUGAGAGGGUGGUCGGCCGCACUGGAGCUGAGACAGGGUCCAGACUCCUACGAGAGGCAGCAGUAGAGAAUCUUCCGCAGUGGGGGAGAGUGUGACGGAGCAGCGCGGCGUGUGUAAUGAAGGUGUUCGGAUCGUGACGCUCUGUUAGUAGUGAAGAACAAAUGUGUAAGUAACUGUGCACGUCUUGACGGUACCGAAUCAGGAAGCCACGGCUAACUACGUG
RNAcentral lists this ribosomal RNA (497 nucleotides) under uncultured bacterium. Its description in RNAcentral is "partial 16S ribosomal RNA". It matches the Rfam family "Bacterial small subunit ribosomal RNA", at positions 28 to 507 of the family's 1533-position model. The record is from RNAcentral.